CUUGGUCAUUUAGAGGAAAUGGAAAAGUUUAUCCAGUACCUGCAUAAUAUCGCUGUGACAGAGCCUGGCGCCGAACUUCAGCCCGUCUAUG
Molecule: unclassified non-coding RNA, 91 nt
Filed under: fungal sp.
Lineage: Eukaryota; Fungi
Description: partial internal transcribed spacer region
Source: RNAcentral